Non-coding RNA from Nitzschia inconspicua, 120 nucleotides. The record is from the annotation of a GenBank genome assembly. Lineage: Eukaryota; Bacillariophyta; Bacillariophyceae; Bacillariales; Bacillariaceae.
UGGGCGCUUUCGAAAGCGCCCAUAAAAAAUAUGGGCGCUUUCGAAAGCGCCCAUAAAAAAUAUAGGCGCUUUCGAAAGCGCCCAUCAAAAAUAUGGGCGCUUUCGAAAGCGCCUAUAAAA